GACGAGCCACACGAACGUUAUUCGGAAUUACUGGGCUUAAAGGGUGCGUAGGCGGUGCGGAAAGUUGGGUGUGAAAUCCCUCGGCUCAACCGAGGAACUGCGCCCAAAACUACCGUACUCGAGGAAGAUAGAGGUGAGCGGAACUUACGGUGGAGCGGUGAAAUGCGUUGAUAUCGUAAGGAACACCCGUGGCGAAAGCGGCUCACUGGGUCUUCUCUGACGCUGAUGCACGAAAGCGUGGGGAGCGAACAGG
RNAcentral lists this ribosomal RNA (253 nucleotides) under uncultured bacterium. RNAcentral describes it as "partial 16S ribosomal RNA". It matches the Rfam family "Bacterial small subunit ribosomal RNA", at positions 524 to 776 of the family's 1533-position model. The record is from RNAcentral.